Molecule: ribosomal RNA, 610 nt
Filed under: uncultured bacterium
Lineage: Bacteria
Description: bacterial SSU rRNA
Rfam family: Bacterial small subunit ribosomal RNA
Source: RNAcentral
CGCUGGCGGCGUGCCUAAUACAUGCAAGUCGAGCGGUGCUCUUCGGAGCACAGCGGCGGACGGGUGAGGAACACGUGAGUAAUCGGGCGUCUGGUGGGGGAUAUCGGGCCGAAAGGCGCGGCAAUCCCGCAUAACGUCCCGGCGGUGCAGGCCGCCGGGGGAAAGGCCGCAAGGCCGCCAGAUGGGGAGCUCGCGGCCCAUUAGCUAGUUGGGGGGGUAACGGCCUCCCAAGGCGACGAUGGGUAGCCGGCCUGAGAGGGUGAUCGGCCACACUGGGACUGAGACACGGCCCAGACUCCUACGGGAGGCAGCAGUAGGGAAUCUUCCACAAUGGGCGCAAGCCUGAUGGAGCAACGCCGCGUGAGUGAAGACGGCCUUCGGGUUGUAAAGCUCUGUCUGUCGGGACGAGGGCCGCGCGGGAACGCGCGGAGGGACGGUACCGGCGGAGGAAGCCCCUGCAAACUACGUGCCAGCAGCCGCGGUAAGACGUAGGGGGCAAGCGUUGUCCGGAAUUACUGGGCGUAAAGGGCGUGUAGGCGGUUUUACACGUAGCGGUUUUCAGCCGUCGGCUCACCCGACGGAGGGCGGCUAAACNGUAAGGCUGGAGGGC